CGCCCCGCAAGGGGAGCGGCAGACGGGCUGAGUAACGCGUGGGUAAUCUACCCAUCACUACUGAACAACUCCGGUGAAACUGGAGCUAAUACCGUAUACGUCCUUCGGGAGAAAGAUUUAUCGGUGAUGGAUGAGCCCGCGCUUGGAUUAGCUAGUUGGUGGGGUAAUGGCCUACCUAGGCGACGAUCCAUACCUGGUCUGAGAGGAUGAUCAGCCACACUGGGACUGAGACACGGUCCACACUCCUACGGGAGGCAGCACUGGGGAAUAUUGGACAAUGGGCGCAAGCCUGAUCCAGCCAUGCCGCGCGAGUGAUGAAAGCCCUAGGGUUGUAAAGCUCUUUCAACGGUGAAGAUAAUGACGGUAACCGUACAAGAACCCCCGGCUAACUUCGUGCCAGCAUCCGCGGUAAUACGAAGGGGGCUAGCGUUGUUCGGAUUUACUGGGCGUCAAGCGCACGUAGGCGGAUUGUUGAGUUAGGGGUGAAGUCCCAGGGCUCAACCCUGGAGGUGCCUUUAAUACUGGCGAUCUCGAGUCCGGAAGAGGUGAGUGGAAUUCCGAGUGUAGAGGUGAAAUUCGUCCAUGUUCGGAGGAACACCUUCGGCGAAGGCUGCUCACUGGUCCUCUACUGACGCUGAGGUGCGAACCGUGGGGAAAAACAGGAUUAGAACCCUGGUAGCCACGCUGUAACAAUGGAACUAUCGUCGGUAGUUCCUUGUCGGGGCGGUCUACGCAUUAGCUUCCGCCUGGCGAGUACGGUCCAAGAUACACUCAAAUGAAUUGACGGGG
RNAcentral lists this ribosomal RNA (789 nucleotides) under uncultured Alphaproteobacteria bacterium. Its description in RNAcentral is "bacterial SSU rRNA". It matches the Rfam family "Bacterial small subunit ribosomal RNA", at positions 67 to 918 of the family's 1533-position model. The record is from RNAcentral. Lineage: Bacteria; Pseudomonadati; Pseudomonadota; Alphaproteobacteria.